GUUAGUGUCGUAUUGACUGUUUUGAAAAGUACUAACAUCUUUAUUAAAGGAGGACUACUUUUCCUAGAUAAAAGACCAGUAGGGUCUCAUCUAUUUAAUUUCAUUUUUUGGUUUUAUUUACAUGAGACUCACUAGCUUAGUGGUUCUUUUUCUGAACAUGAUAAAGAAUAUAUUAAAGUGUCGAAGAAACUGCUUCUAUAAGCAAAUUUUUAGCGUUUCUUCUUAUUUGGCUCAAGUCAUUCUAGAUGGAAAUCUUCGUUCUUUUCUGUCUGCGAACACAGGUGAGUACUCUACCUACAUGGCUUUGUGAUCUUAUUUGGCCAACUCUUUGGAAUGCCUCUAUAAUGCCUGAAUAAGUGUUUGCUUAUUCAGGAGUUAGCCAGAUAACCAGCAUGUGGAAUAUCUAGGUCACAGAAGGCAGAAGAUACAGGAUUGAUAUCUCAGGAACUGCAGAUCUAGUAGCAGGAGAUAGGACAGGCUUAAAUUUUGCAGUGGACUGUAGGAGAAAAUAUAAACUUUAAGCACCACAUUCUUGAAGGUGCAACUUUUGGUGUUAAGUUUUGUCCCCUCUGUUACGUAUAGCCAUCUAAUAUCAGUGAAUAGUUUUAAAAGUUCCCUUCAUUCUCUUCCUUUACGCCAGGGCUUUCACAAGCUUCCUCAUUGGUCUUCUUUUACCUGCCCUGCACACUAGUAGUCUUCAGAUGUUUUGUGACUCCUGGUACUUUACUGGUGUUUCAAAACCUUAUUGCCUCUCUUCUGUUUUCUGAAGAAAUGAUGGCAUUAAAUAUAAAUCAUUCUUGGAUCUCCAAAGGAAUGGUAAAUUUUUUUUUUUUUUUAAGGAAUCAGGUGGGCAAUAUUUUAGAACUCCAGGCUAUAAAGUUUUUUUUUUUAACUAUUCAACCUAUUUGUUGGAAAGUUGCCUUCCAUACUACUUAAAGAAAUGGGCACCGAGGAUGUAGCUCAUUUGAAUCCAUGUCUAGCAUGUGUGAAGGCCUGGGUUUGGUCUCUGACACCAUAUCGAUCAGUUGUGGUGAUGUACACCUGUGUCCCCGUAUUUGGGAGGUGGUGGAAGCAGGAGGACCAGGAGUUAAAGGUCAGCCAUGGUUAUAUAGCAAGUUAGAGGCCAGCCUCAAAUACAUGAGAUCCAGUCUUAGAAAGAAUAGGAAGAUUUGGGGGUGGCUGUUCCAACAGGAUCUUACUUAGAAAACGGGGCUAGCACAAGCUAUAGUUUGAUGAGCCUUGGGAUUUGACAGCCAUAAUAAUAAUAAUAAUAAUGAUAAUGAUAAUAAUAAUAAUAAUAUAGCAGUUAUACAGCCAAAUCAAAUUAAUUUCUGCCUAAAUAAGGGAGAAAUGAUAGUUUUUAGGCAGAAGGGAAGAAACUUUUAGAGACUAAGCUGGUUUGCUAGGUCAGGGAAGUUUUGUAAGAUGAGAUUGGCUACAUAUGUUAUUAGUCUUAAAAGUUAACUGCCAAAUCUAAUAUUUGUAGAGAUAGAGAAGAAAGUUAUACAUUCUGAUGGAUUGAAAUGGAUGAGGGAACAAUAUAAGCUUGUACGAUUUUCUUGGGGGGAGGGAAAUGAGAGGUGGCUGUGGAAAGGAUGCGUGCUGUAGAUACUCUUUGGUAGUAGAUCUUGGUAUUUGCAAGAUAAAAUCCUUUUAGAACAGUUGACAGGUCUCACUAUGACUAUAGUUCUAUUUUUUGUAUCUGGUAAUGGAGAAAAUGUGUGUUUAUAAAGAGUUGUUAAUACUCUCCUAAAGACUUUGUAUUUUACUAUCACAAUACUGUACCUUGGUUAAUGCACAUGUAUGGGAGGUGGUCUUUAUAUAAUGUAUGACGUGGCACCUAAGCUGUUGCUAAUUGUCUAUCUCCCCAGGAGUUCUGAGCUUGGAAUUCAUUAAGCUAACACAUCAACAUAAAAGAAUAAAGAUUGCUUAGAAGUAGUGUUCAGUCACAAUUAGGAUAAUAUGAAUGUAGUAAACUCAUUUUAAAGCAUUCUGUUGUUUUGGUAAUAUUUGGGUCUAAAGAUCCCCUCAACUAGUUUCUAUUCAUGUUCCUGUGUGUGUGUGUGUGUGCACACACACAUAUACAUAUAUAUAUAUUUUUUUUUUCUUAGUAUCUCCAUUUGGUGCCUUUAUUGUAAAUCUGAAACCUUGUUUUAGAUUUAGCAUACUGAAGCUAAAGUUUGUUUUUAUUUUGUAACAGGUCUCUGCUGGUUUAAGGAUCUGCAGAGAUGGUAAAAGCUAACUGCAGUAUUUAGAUAAUUUCUGAAAACAUAAACUAGGCAUUGACUUUAUGAAAGAACUUGAAAUGGGAAAGGGUGGCCCUGAGAAAGAGACGUUGCUGAUGCUAUGGACCUAAAGAGGAAGUGGCUGGAUGGACUUGAUGUGGCACUGGCCUUGGAGCAUGGUGUGGGGGCAAAGCUGCCUUUCUCCUGUUGGAUGGUGAGGAAAUCUGGUUGGAGAGAAGGUUUCUAUAAGAGAGGAUCAAAGGCAAGUUUGUGGCUAGAAAAGAUACACACAAGGAGAAGGCUUAUUUAUUUGGUAAUUUUUUUAUUAUAUAUUAUAUAAAAGUGUUUUUAUAAAAACACUUUUAGUUUUUAUUUGUAUAUAUAUGUGCACAUGCAAGCAUGGGUGUGCGUAAGUUUGGACAUGUGAGUACUGUGGCACACUUGUGGAGACCAGAGAACAACUUAAAAGAAUUAAUUCUCUCCUUCUACCAUGUGGGUCCUCAGAGUCUGUGUUGUUUCCUACUAAGCUGCCUCACCAGUUCACUAAAAUGUGUAAGUGUUGGGGCAUGACAAGGAAAGGUGGAGCUAAUGGAGCUAAGUCUGAGAACCCUGAGAAAAAGAGAUGCUUCAAAUACAGAUUGGCAUAAGAACAUAGAAAUGUACAUAUUUUAAACUAGACACCAAUUGUUUCAUUGAAGAGACUAAUACAGUAAGAAACUGAGUUAAUUUUAUAGAAGUCUCAGCCAUUGGAGUUAAGUCUUAGAAAAUUCUGAUAAUGUCACUGAAAUUUUGUGGUUUAUAAAUGAGUACAAUUAUUGAAAUUGAACUAUCACAUAAGUAUGGAAGACUAUAUAAAUGCAUACGUAUUCUGCAUUUUCUCUCUAGAUAUAUUUUCACAGAUAGAGGAUUCAUAGUUGCUAUGGAUUUUUAGCAAUCUCAAUAUACACAUUUUCUAUCAUUAAGAACCUCUACAUUUUCGAAGGAAGGACUUUAUAACAUUUUCUCUUUGGUCUAUUCCAGAUGCCAGUAUCACUGUUGUUGAACUUUGAGGCUGCUGUUCAAUAAAAUGAGGGGUACUUAAUACUACCUUUGUGAUAUGAUGAUUUGCCUGAGAACUGAGAGGGCUGUUGAGGGACUAGGAGGCAGUACUGUAUGCAACACAUAUGCUAGAUAAGGGAUGAUUCUCGAAAGCCAGUAUGGGAGGAUAGUGUAAGAUGUUGCCAAGCUACUCAGAAUGGGGUACAGCUUGAAAUUUACUGCACUGGUUAUUCCUGGAACUUUCCAUUUAAUAUUUUUUCAGAUUGUAGUUGACCAUGUGUAACACACUCUGGAGACCAAACCAUGGAUAGAUAGAGAGGGCUUCUGUGUUAGAAAAGCAUGUCUGUUGUUGGGAGAGAAGAAACCGAAAGAAACAAGCAUGUUUUCAUUGCUGUAGUGAGUGGCAACCUUUGUUUGCAUAAGACAGCGAAAUAAUAAAGACAAUAAGUGCUUUAGGAAUUGUUUUCCUUGGAUUAAAAAGAGGACAUUUUAACUGUAGGAAGAAUGGUUAAUUUUUGGUCUAGGUCUUUAUUAAGGAUGGAAUGUUGUAAUGAACUCCAGAGUCCUGUAACCCAGCUUCAACAGUGACUCACAGCUGACACCGGCCUUAGAGCUUGGAACUGAUGCUUUCUUUCUUUCUAUCUGCAGUUACAUGCUUCUAUCACUAUUCUGAAGCAGAACGUAGAUAGAAUGUUAUUUCACUCAUAUAUACAGUGUCUGUUUCACUCUGUAAAUCUUUCUGAAAAGAAAUUCAUUUAAAAAAAUGUAAUUAUUAUCACUCCC
Molecule: long non-coding RNA, 4046 nt
Filed under: Mus musculus (house mouse)
Lineage: Eukaryota; Metazoa; Chordata; Mammalia; Rodentia; Muridae
Description: long non-coding RNA chr4:44762474-44766520
Source: RNAcentral